CGUGCCGUCGUACGACCUUAUCCCCUUUCUCGUUUGUAUCGAUUUGGCAGAGCCGAGUGAAUCGAGCUUUGCCUGUGAGCUUGUUCUGCGUUAUGAAGUGCUGCUGUUGUUGACUCUGAGAUUUGCAGUGUGCCGUAAUCGUGUCGAGAAUGUAAUGAUGCAGGAGCAGCUUGACUUUGGGAGUAUCCAUGGUGUUGUCAAGGAAUCACGAAAUAUGUUGAAUUGUGGGUUUCAUAGAGCAUCGAUGGGAGGAGUCGCCGACGAGAUUCCCCAGGAAUUUUAGCUACUGCUGGGUCGUAAUUUGGCGCAGGGUCUGUGGCGUGUGGGAAUGCGGGAGUAGUGUCAAGUUCUGAUUUUGUUACUCAGGCGUUAGACGUGACCCGAUUGUUGUCCGGCUGUGGUGAUUUUCACUAACGGCUUUCAAAAUGCCGGACCGAACACCGAACAGGUCGAUCGAGAAUGAUUUAGAGGUGGCGGCGCCAUCGAUAUCUGCGAUAGCGAAGGGUGGUGGAGUUUCUUUAGCUCGCAAUUUAUUAUCGCAUACCGUAAAUGUUCGUCCUAAAUUAUGGGAUGACAAGUACCCACCUGCCAAAAUAUGGAUUGGGAGAAUAAAAUCGUAUCAAUUGGCACAGUGCACUGCAGAUGCUGUUUUCUACUACACUGGGGGCUACCCUUUUCAUUUUAGAGAUGCUAAUUGGAACUUUCCACCUCUUCACUGUAUGGGCAGAUACGGUCAGCCUGAAGUGCUUAGUAGCAGAGAGAUGUGCUUGGAGUACGUCGAGUAUAUUGCCAAAAGUUUAGCUUUUAGACCCCAUAGAUUUGAUUUUAUAAAUCAGGUCAAAGCUGUGCUUGCGAGCCCUGCAUAUCUCCACCAGAGAGCGGAAUUUUUGGAAUCCUUGAAUGAAGCACACGGUGCUCCUGCAGCUCCAGUGGAUCAGUUAGCCGACACGGCAAACCAACCUCCUCCAGAGAAUGAUGAUGCGAACUAUCAUGAUUGGAGGGAAAUGGAAGUGGAGUGUAACUUUAUGAUGAGUUCUGAAAUACCCCCAUCCAGCGAAGCGAAAUACAUUGCAAGUUUUGGAUUUGAUUUUGACAACAAACUACAGAGUACGUGGGAGAUACCUUAUGUUCCGUGGAACGCACAUGAUAAGAAGAUGGAAGAUCCCAGUACUUCCUCAGCCUUCGCCGACUCUUUCGUCCCGCCGCCCUCUGAAGGUCAUGGAUUUGACUUGGAGAACAGUCUGCAGAGUACGCGAGCCACCUCUCAUGUUGGGCGUAACGGAUUUGAUGAGAGGACGGAAGAGCCUAGUACUUCCUCUGCCUUGACCGACAUUUUCAUCGCCUCAGUCCUGGUCACUGAAGAUGAGGACCUUUGGAACUUGGAGAUGUAUCCGCCGGAGGCUAUGGCUACCAGCAAUGACUUUGUAUCGAAUAUACUUAACGAUUUAAUGGUGAUGUCUGCUUAUACUUUGUGACCCGGUAUGUACUGCAGCUUCGGAUCAGUUUGAAGCGGAGCAAUGGAGGUUCCCAAACGAAUCAGAUUGGAACUUGAUCUCUCCGCUACCCCACAUUUUGCAGUGCGCAACCCGUCAGUAAUUCAUUUUUGAUGUGCAGCUGCCCCUUUUUGCAUUAUCUUAUGGCUGCUGGUGGAGUUAUCCUUCAGUUCGAUGAACGUUCCACUAGGUUAUUUCACUGGAUUGAAAUCAACCUCGGCGAGAAAAGCGGUUCUCGAAUACACUUAUUGAGUAUAGAUUGUACAUCUGCGUCAGCAUCUGAUUUCUUUGUGAGCGGCACCCAAGUUAUCCAGUUGUAUAUAUGCAGCUAUUGAGUUGCCGUGGUGAUGGUAGUAGUCGUCGUUGCAGUUCAACCAAAGAAUGUUGCAUCUGCACAUGAUUUGAAGUUAUACUUUUCCUAUAUUGAUGCCAUAGACCCAAUGAGCUUCCACUAUCAAUUGAACGCUGGAUUCCUUUGGGUGGUCUUUCUUCAACAGAAAGACUCAGGAAAAGACGUUUGCUGCUCAUAACGACCAUCGUACCAUGUAGAUUCUUGUGAAAACUGUAAUACCUUAUUACUAUUGAGCUCCCUCAUUUUAGUUUGUUUGGGACUGAGACCUGAUCACAUGGCUUAAAAUUC
This is an RNA transcript of Physcomitrium patens, 2133 nucleotides long. RefSeq lists it as uncharacterized. NCBI's taxonomy places the organism in Eukaryota, Viridiplantae, Streptophyta, Bryopsida, Funariales, Funariaceae. The record is from RefSeq and is a predicted model, not a curated record.